CACAGGACACGAUGCUCCUGGGAAGAUGCUCCUUAGAACUGGGCUGAAGCCAGGAGAGCUCUAGUUAGGCACAAGGGCAAUCAGACUGUAGCCACCAGAGGACCCGUCUGUCCCUAAAGCCCACCGGAGGUCCCAGCACAGAAAAGCCUCGGAUUGGAUCCUCCGGUAGUCCUGGAGAGUGUUGGAGGUUGGUUGAGUCCCACACCCUGUGUGACCCCCACGGGAUGGAAGCAACCCUGUACUAAGAAAAAAAAAAAAGCUGAGAAGAAAGAAGUGUUUAGUCGCCAGCCAGAGACUAACGGAUGCUCAGCAGCACUACAUCCACCAUG
RNAcentral lists this non-coding RNA (329 nucleotides) under Cricetulus griseus (Chinese hamster). The record is from RNAcentral. Lineage: Eukaryota; Metazoa; Chordata; Mammalia; Rodentia; Cricetidae.